ACGUAGGUGGCAAGCGUUGUCCGGAGUUAUUGGGCGUAAAGCGAGCGCAGGCGGUUGUUUAAGUCUGAUGUGAAAGCCCCCGGCUUAACCGGGGAGGGUCAUUGGAAACUGGAUAACUUGCGUGCAGAAGAGGAGGGUGGAAUUCCAUGUGUAGCGGUGAAAUGCGUAGAGAUAUGGAGGAACACCAGUGGCGAAGGCGGCUCUCUGGACGGUAACUGACGCUGAGGCGCGAAAGCGUGGGGAGCAAACAG
RNAcentral lists this ribosomal RNA (251 nucleotides) under uncultured bacterium. Its description in RNAcentral is "partial 16S ribosomal RNA". It matches the Rfam family "Bacterial small subunit ribosomal RNA", at positions 525 to 775 of the family's 1533-position model. The record is from RNAcentral.